This is an RNA transcript of Tachysurus vachellii, 7067 nucleotides long. It is a transcript of the gene named microtubule associated monooxygenase, calponin and LIM domain containing 2b, with no coding region annotated. The transcript has 27 exons. The record is from RefSeq and is a predicted model, not a curated record. NCBI's taxonomy places the organism in Eukaryota, Metazoa, Chordata, Actinopteri, Siluriformes, Bagridae.
CGUUACCGUCAGCUGAAGGGUAAAAUGGAGCACGACACGUAAAUAACGUUUAAUAACGGUUUUCUAACGUUAAAGUCGUUUUAAACAUUAACACACUCCUGAAUAAAAGGUUUAAGGAUUUAUUCCCGAAGUUAACGAAGCUAGACAGUGGAUUAAAAAGCAGCAGGACGUGAAAUAAAGCCGCACCAGCCCGAAACGAUGCCCGCAGCAGCAGCCGCGCUCUAAGCUAGCUCCCGUUUCGACCGAGAGAAACCGGGAUCGAAGGAGGAGAGAAACGAUGGGGGAAGUGGAAGACGAGAGGUGCUCUCAGGCCAGCCAGCUCUUCGAGAACUUCGUCCAGUCCUCCACGUGUAAAGGAACACUCCAGGCUUUCGGCUUGCUCUGCAGGCAGCUGGAACUCGACCCGACCGACCACCGAGGCUUCUAUAGCAACCUGAAGGCAGCCGUCACCUCAUGGAAGGCCAAAGCCUUGUGGACCAAGCUGGACAAACGAGCCAACCACAAGGAGUACAAGAAAGGCAGAGCAUGCACAGACCUCAGGUGUCUGGUCAUCGGCGGAGGCCCCUGCGGCUUGCGAACGGCCAUCGAGUUGGCGCUUCUCGGAGCCAAAGUGGUGGUGAUCGAGAAGAGGGACACGUUCUCCAGGAACAACGUCCUCCAUCUUUGGCCUUACACCAUCCACGACCUCAGAAACCUCGGCGCAAAGAAGUUCUACGGCAAGUUCUGCGCCGGAGCCAUAGACCAUAUCAGUAUUCGUCAGCUGCAGCUAAUCCUUCUGAAGGUGAGUCUCAUCGUCGGGGUGGAAGUUCACGUCAACGUCGAGUUUGUCAAACUCCUGGAGCCCCCCGAAAAGCAGGACGGCGUUGGGCAGGGAUGGAGAGCAGAAAUGUCACCCGUUAGUCAUCCCAUCUCUGACUACGAGUUUGACGUGUUAAUAGGAGCGGACGGACGCAGAAGCACGCUACACGGUUUUAAAAGGAAGGAGUUUCGAGGCAAGCUGGCCAUCGCCAUCACCGCCAACUUUGUCAACCGCAACACCACAGCGGAGGCCAAAGUGGAGGAGAUCAGCGGUGUGGCCUUCAUCUUCAACCAGAAGUUCUUCCUCGAGCUUAAGGAGGAGACAGGGAUUGAUCUGGAGAAUAUCGUCUACUACAAGGACAACACGCACUACUUCGUCAUGACGGCCAAGAAGCAGAGUUUGCUGGAUAAAGGGGUCAUUAUUCACGACUACAUUGAGACCGAGCGACUGCUGCACAGCGACAACGUCAAUCAGGAAGCUCUGCUGUCCUACGCCAGGGAGGCGGCUGACUUCGGCACCAACUACCAGCUUCCGUCUCUGGACUACGCCAUGAACCACUACGGACAGCCCGACGUGGCCAUGUUCGACUUCACCUGCAUGUACGCGUCGGAAAACGCCGCGCUCAUAAGGGAGAAGAACGGACACCAGCUGCUGGUGGCUCUGGUUGGAGAUAGUCUUCUGGAGCCCUUUUGGCCCAUGGGGACCGGAUGUGCUCGAGGCUUCCUGGCUGCAUUUGACACGGUGUGGAUGGUGCAGGGUUGGGCUCAGGGAAAAGCCCCUCUGGAGGCGCUGUCCGAGAGGGAGAGCAUCUACAGGCUUCUGCCUCAAACCACAGCCGAAAACAUCAGUAAAAACUUUGAGCAGCACACCAUCGACCCUGCGACCCGCUACCCCAACCUCAACUCCACCUGCGUCCGACCACACCAGGUCCAGCAUCUGUACAUCAACGGGGAGCAGAACCCAUGUUCUCUGGAGCGUAGUGGACCCACGCGCAGGUCCGUCAAUAUCUCCAGGAAAGAAUCGGCGGUGCGGCCCAGUCGCUUGUUGCUGUGGUGUCAGAAGCAGACUGAAGGAUACAGAGGAGUGAAUGUUACUGACCUCACUACGUCCUGGAGGAGCGGCCUCGCCCUGUGCGCCCUCAUCCACCACCAGCGCCCAGACCUCAUAGAUUUUGAUUCUCUGAACGAGGCAGACAGCGCCAAGAACAACCAGCUCGCGUUCGAGGUGGCCGAGAAGACGUUCAGCAUCCAGCCGCUCAUCACAGGACAGGAAAUGGCCGCUGAGCAGGAGCCCGACAAACUCGUCAUGGUGCUCUAUUUGUCCAAGUUCUACGAAAUGUUCUGCAACUCCUCCAUAUCUUCCUCAGGAGCUCCCAAAGAGACCAGCAAGAACAAUGAGGACCUUUCAUCCAAGCCCAAGAACUCUGUUUACAACUCAACAAAUCUCGCACUGCUCCGGAAACGGAUUCCAAAGGAUGACAAAAAGGUCGAAGAUGACAAGAAGAGAAGAAAAGGCAUCAGCUACCUGGACGAGCUGUCCAAACAGAGCACUUCGACUGCGGUGGAGGAGGGCGAGCAAAAAGAGAAUAAAGUGCGCUCCAUGGCAACUCAGCUUCAAGCCAAGUUCGAGGAGAACGCACCUAGCUGUGUCCUACGUCGACAGUCGGAGUCCGAUUCGAGUUCAGGAAAGCCUGUUUCUCUGGACAUGACUGAAAACCCUCGGUUUGCUAAACCCAAGCAGUCCUCACCCCCUCCUGAUUCUCCCAAACCAAAGUGGCAGCCGUCUCCUUAUUUGAGACUCCUGGAGUCUCAGAUGCAGCAUGGAAACAAACAGGGACACCUGGAAACCCAACAGGUUCAAGUCUGGUCACUUCACACCACCAUGGAGGAUCAGACAGGUUUUCAGUCACCAGAAUCUCAGUUAACUUCUCAGACAACUCAAAACGCUAAACCCUCAACUCCUGAACUUCAGUCCAGUCUUCAGGGCCUUUCUGUCUCAGCUGCACAACAUUCGACUCUGAAGCAUGUCCUCGUCCCCAAAGAGCGACGCGCGAUCACCUGCAAGUCCUCAGAAACCCCACUGAUCUCCACAGCUGCUCUGCAUCGGCUAAAGAUGGUGGAGGACAAGACCACUCAGAAGAAAGUGCAGAGUCAAAGCGCACAAGAGUUCAGCAGAAAGAGUAUAAGAGAGCGAGCGGAGCAACUGAGCUUCCUGUUCUCCGGCACACCGGCUCAGAAGAGUGGACCCUCUCCUGUUCCAGAUUCUUCUCCUAAACCUCUCUCGUGUCCAUCUCUCCUUCAGCCCUCUGCUCUUUCCUGUCUGCUGUCUCCUCUUCCUGAAGCUCAGCCCAAGCAGUGUAACGGACAUGCUGCGUCAGAGCCGACGACUCCUGAUCACCAGGGGCACAAAAAUCAAUCUGAGAUCAAACGUGUCCAAUGCCUCGAUCCUUCUAUACAGAGGACAGUGGGGAAAGUUUCCUCUGUAAUUGGUGUUAAAGCUGCCACUCUGGCUGUCCUUUAUGAAACCGAUCACAGACCCAACAACCCUUACACUCUCUCACUGACCGAGGCCAGGAGAAGUCAGGAGUCUGGUUCGGUUAACCUGCGGAAGGAGUUUGCUCCCGGGAUGGGCGGCAGCGACACGUGCCACUUCUGUAAGAAGCGUGUGUAUGUGAUGGAGAGACUGAGCGCAGAGGGCUACUUCUUCCAUCGAGAGUGUUUCCGAUGUGACGUCUGCAGCGCCACACUGAGGCUGGGAGGACACGUGUUUGACCAAGGUACUUUUUACUGCAAGCUGCACUUUUCCCAGCGCAAAACCAGCCACAGGCUUCGAAAGCCACAGGUCCACAGAAGCGACGUGUCUGUACUUGACGAUACUGACGGAUUCUCCACCAGCGGGAGCCUCCACAUAAAGCCUUCAGGUACCCUGAGUUCCCUGUUUAGGAAACGGCUGCACGUGAGCCGGCUGACCGGCUGGAUGCAUGGCGUGGCCUGGGCUUUAUGGUUACACCUCAGUGAGCGGCGAGACGACUAUGCCUUCUUUUCUGAACUUCUGGGCCUCGGCAUCCCUCUGCUGUUUAUUCUGUAUGAGACAACAGCACAGAUUUGUCUUGAGGGGAAGAUCCCAAACUCAAUUAUAGCGUUAGAGUGAGGCGUCUGUCUGACCGACUGCCUCCCCCACACACUCCGCUCUCUUCUUUUAACCCUCCGCUGUUUCACAGAGGUGUUCAAGGAAUCUGCCACCACUGAUGCUGAAGUUUCUUUAAUCAGUGUUUGAUUUCCAAAUUGUGCCAAAAUCUGCACACGUUCCUCCAGUCCAUGACUCUUUAAUCAGAGGUCAUGAAUCUGUCUGGUGUUUGAUUGCAGUAUUAGUAAUUUUGCACAUUUGCACCGAACACUGACGCUUUUCCUGUUUAAACUCCUGAUUAAAUGCUCGUUCAUGUUAACGAUCCCAUUCCGCAAAUCAGGAGAAACGUCGAAACGUGAGGUAAAGAAGGACGACAGGACUGAAAUUUACUCUUAUACAGGCUUUAAGAGCUUAUCAGUAUUUUUAUAGUAAAGGAUUACUCCAGUUUUUUUUUUUUUUGUUUGUUUGUUUUUUAAAGCUUCGUACUAAGCAAUAAAUUUCUAUUGCACGCUAAAUUCAUGAGGAUUAAGACAGAAUUUUAAAAAAAUGCCAUUUCAUAAAUCAUAUCCGCUUCAAUCGUUAUAUCCCACGAUACACGUCGGAUGAUGGGAGUCUUAGGGUCGUGAUGUGUUACAGGGCAUGUGUCAUGUAGUCCCAUCAUUUCUCUCACAGCUUGUAGACGAUUAUGCAACUUUACAUCUUACCCGGGAAAGCGCCGGGUCAGGAUCGGUUCAUUCCCUCCAACCGAUCGGCCUCUAAUCUCUAAUAAAAGCCUAAAAUCAGCUGAUUAAACAAGUGGAAUCAGGCGUAAAUGCUGAUCGACGAUUAGAAUGAAAAGCUAAAUCCAUACCGGUGCUCUGAGGAUCAGAUCCGACACCUUUCUGCUUUAUACUGCGUUUGAACUCCAUUAUGACGUUAAACAUUUUGGAAAGUGGGUCAUUUUUAUUUGGAACAAAAUCUUUGUUGCUAAAACCUAAACAAUACUGAACAAUACUUGGAUUUUUCACCUCUUGCUAUGGCAAAGUACGUGUAGAUAAGUGGGAGUGGAGAGAACAUUUAAGUCUCCAGUUAAUUAAUUAUUUAAUUAACUGAUUGAUUUGAUUGAUUAAGCAUUUAUACCAGAUUUGCCUCUGUGUUCUUAUUGUUUCUCAGGAAAAAUGAAUAAUAAUCAUUUGCUGUCCUGUCCAGACAUCCACUAGAGUUUUGGUGUGUUAGAAUUGUUUUCUAGGCGUCGCCGAUUAAGCGCUCGGACAUAAAGGUUUAUAUAAUUAUACGAUCGAUUCAUGAUCCGCUGUAAAACUUGUAUUAUCAAGAACUUUGAGGAUUCAGGAGGAUGUUUCUGUUUGGUGAAAGUCACACAGCGGAUAUGAGACGAGGUUGAGCCCAGACGCCGGAGUAUUCGUUUAUUCUAGUCAGCACUAAAAUGUUUUAAUCAGUCUUUAACGAGCGUACGAAAAGCACUUUUCUCUACUUUUCUCUGAGGUGUCACAGCUAACCUCUCACCGUUUUUGUGUACGAUUUGUAAGCGGAAACGCCAAUCAAUGGAAUUUACUUCAUUUUUUUUUAUUUUUUUUUAUUUUUAUUUCUAAAGUCAUACAAUAACAGUAUUAUGUUUUCUGUACAUUUUUUUUUAGUUAGUCUAAAUUGCCUACUGCUCUAUUGACAUUUCAAAAAACCCUCCUAAAUUUCUUUCCUCUGUUUCUCUUCAUCCUUCAUCCACACCCUACCGUUAGACCGUUUCAUGUUUUCAAUGCUCCGACCCCCUGAUUGGCAGAGCGGUGGUGCCUGAAGGUGAUCGGCCUGCAUUAGCCAGAGGCUGCAUUACUGUCCAAAUCGUACUCCAGACCUCUGUCUUGUUCUGAGGUCACCACUUAGUGAAGGAUCCUUCUGUAGUUUAAACAAUUUUUUCGUCAAUUUUUUUUUUUUUUUGUAAAUUUGUAGUUCUCUUUAUACAUUUUCCUACAAGUCUGUACAUUUCCUAGCACAUGAUGAUAAAUGUUCUUUUUUUUUUUUUUUUUUUUUCUUAAUUUAUAUACUUUCAAUCCUGUACGUAUUAAAUAAAUCUAUUUUCAACUCUAUUUCUGUUUCUGUUUUUUUGUUUACCAUUUUGAUCCAUGUGCAACGUUUGGGGGGAAGUAAAAAGAAAAACGUCUCUGCACUUUUUGUACCCUCACGACACGCUGACCAGUGUAACUUUUCCGUUUCUUUCUAAUAAAUUGACGGCACUUUCUUCACCAUAUACCUGAAAAGUGCGUCUUGUUAACGCAGGCUUGUUGCCUGACUAAAACCCCACCCACCCAAUUCCCAAACCCUCCGGGUGCCGCCUAAAGUUCCGCCCAGAAAGCGUGCAUACAUUCGACCCAUUGCGUGUACAACUCACUAUCACUGGUGUUCAGAAGGGUGUUGGGUCUUUUCUUUUGGGUCUUUUCUGUCCUUUCCUUGCCCUAAAAUUCUAUUAAAGAGAUGAGCGACUAUUUAUUUAUAUUUUUAUGUGAAAUGUUCAGAUGGUCACGACUGCACUCGAUCGAUUUAUCCGGUGAAACGGAUAUGGAUCAUGAAUCCUCUCGUUACAAUCCAGUUGUGUUUGUAUAGCACUUUUAACUUUGAGCGAGCCAGAGGCGAUGGCAGUGAGGAAAAAAGAGACUGAGAUGAUACGAGGAAGAAAUAACGUAUCUCGUACGUAUCUGAGACGAUACGAGGAAGAAAUCUUGAGACUCAAAAAGAAACUCGUUUUUUUCUGUGACCGGUCUAGAGAUUAUUAAAAAAAAAACACACAACGCCAUCAAGAAAAACUGGUUAAAACUGACAUUAAUCAGAGAAAUAUCCAAGAGGCCAAGGCUAAAAAUAAAGGAUGUGAAAAGAUCUGAACACAAAGAAGCUGUAGACAGCAAAUAUCCUGGAUGUUCCACAAAGCUGGGCUGAAAUCCUGUCUGAAGCUCUAGAGUGAAACGUGGUGGUGGUACAGUAGUAUCCUGAGAACACCAUCACUACAGUGAAACAUGGUGGAGGUACAGUAGCAUCCUGAAAACACCAUCACUACAGUGAAACGUGGUGGUGGUACAGUAGCAUCCUGAGAACACCAUCACUACAGGGAAACAUGGUGGUACAGUAGCAUCCUGAGAACACCAUCACUACAGUGAAA